This 497-nucleotide ribosomal RNA is filed under the name uncultured bacterium. RNAcentral describes it as "partial 16S ribosomal RNA". It matches the Rfam family "Bacterial small subunit ribosomal RNA", at positions 28 to 507 of the family's 1533-position model. The record is from RNAcentral.
GAUGAACGCUGGCGGCGUGCCUAAUACAUGCAAGUCGAGCGAACAGACGAGGAGCUUGCUCCUCUGACGUUAGCGGCGGACGGGUGAGUAACACGUCGAUAACCUACCUAUAAGACUGGGAUAACUUCGGGAAACCGGAGCUAAUACCGGAUAAUAUAUUGAACCGCAUGGUUCAAUAGUGAAAGACGGUUUUGCUGUCACUUAUAGAUGGAUCCGCGCCGCAUUAGCUAGUUGGUAAGGUAACGGCUUACCAAGGCGACGAUGCGUAGCCGACCUGAGAGGGUGAUCGGCCACACUGGAACUGAGACACGGUCCAGACUCCUACGGGAGGCAGCAGUAGGGAAUCUUCCGCAAUGGGCGAAAGCCUGACGCAGCAACGCCGCGUGAGUGAUGAAGGUCUUCGGAUCGUAAAACUCUGUUAUUAGGGAAGAACAAAUGUGUAAGUAACUAUGCACGUCUUGACGGUACCUAAUCAGAAAGCCACGGCUAACUACGUG